This is a long non-coding RNA of Bombyx mori (domestic silkworm), 3785 nucleotides long. RefSeq lists it as uncharacterized. The transcript has 4 exons. NCBI's taxonomy places the organism in Eukaryota, Metazoa, Arthropoda, Insecta, Lepidoptera, Bombycidae. The record is from RefSeq and is a predicted model, not a curated record.
AUUUUAAUUUAACCUUUAUAAAUUCUGCCUGAUGCAACAACGUAUUUAUUUCAAAUCAUUUUCAACGUCACCUGUUUGGUUACAUCGUAAAUACGCUGCGUGGUAUUAUUUCAAGAAACGUAUUAUAGUCGUAUUCGUACGGCAGGGAUAACUUAACGCAUGACUUUACUACGUUAGAGCUUGCAUCAGCCGUUUGCAUCAAUCGGCCAUAGAUAGGAUGACAUUAAUUUUGCUGCAUAAUUUAAGGUAGCAUGCAGUAAUUGAAUUGAAUCUAUAAUCCAAAUCUCUAUGCGUAAUUACUGUUAAAAACGGGCUCAUAAUACGCCCUGACAUCGGAAACAGACAAGCCACUGCUUAUUACAAAUCCUUAUCAGACUGUAUGAACUCAUUUAUCUCAGAAAUUGAUGUUCUACAGUAAGCCGCCGAAAUCUCAAUAUUCAAUAAGUAGACGUCCAAAGUUGCUCAGAAAUAUUUUACUAUGGUAUAUAAUCAAUUUAUUUAUUAUAAAAAAAAGAACACAAUAUUAAUAUUUUACUUGUCUAUUAGAGAUAUGUUCUUUAAUCAUUAAAUGAAAUCAACAAUGGAAUGCACACGAUUGCAUACUACUAAUGUUCCUUCAUAUCUGUUUUCCCAGAUGUGGAACAACACAGCGAAGAAAACAAUUAUUUGCUCAAUUAAAGUAAAAAUUAGUGUAGACAGAUCACUAAUUAUGAAAAAAUUUAUUUACCUUACUACGUUCUAAUCUAUAUUUAGAAUAGAAAGAUACGGAGAAACAAUACGGAAGAAAUGUGAAAUUAAUGUACACCUGUGUAAUAAACAUUCCAAAUUGACGUCAAUAGCAAUAGCAAGUACAUAAUAUUCUAUCCGUUAAAGCAUCAUUAUUAAAAUGCAGGCACGUAUUUCCUGUAUGCCAUCUUAGCUUGUUAUUUUUUGUUCUACUUUUUAUUAUUUUAAUUAAUUAAUCCACUAUUGAGUUCAUCGAAUACAAGUUUACGUGCUGACUUCAACAUACGUAUAUCGUUAAAAAUUAAUCAAGGUGUAUGUUUGUGUCAUCGAAUUAAAUUUGGGGCCCUUAAAAAAAUCCAAAACUCACAUUUUACAAUUUUUUGUCAUAUCCGACCCAUACGACAGGGUAACGCAAAGCAGCCGUAUCACGGUCCUCUGUCUUGUCGGAUACCCCGGAUCCACUUUCGAUGCAUUGAGGCUCUUCAAGCAGCGAUCACCGUCCUCGUUGAACUAGUCGAUUACGACGAAGAGUGAAGUAAACCAGCCCACUGAGUUUCUCAAGGGGUCGCGAUUCCAAUCCAGUGGUAGAUUUCUGGUCUUACUAGGACUGGUGUUGGUCAAUUAUCUCAUAUUCUCACCUGCCCGUCCGCAUGACUCUGGAAUAGCCCCUUAGGCUACCAGCGAAUAGGUAGAUGAAACGAAACAAAGCAGCUUAAUCAACAGGUACAGAAUUUUUCUAUAAAACAAUAAACGCUAAUAUUAUUCAAAAAUAUUUAGGGCCAAUUCGUCUUUUCGCAUUAAAAGUGUACAAAUUUAAAAAAUAUUCGAAAUUGCAUUAAAACCAUUUGGUAUCACCAGUAUUUUUCUCAUAAAUACUGUCACAAGAACGUAGUUUAGUUUUAUAGUAGUAUAAGGUAGUAUUUAUAUACCUAUAUUUAAACUACGAUUAACAAAAUUAAUACAUAAUUUUAUCUUACUUUAAAAGAUAGAUAAUGUUACUCUUAAAAAAUAAAAAAUAAAUGGUGCAAAGAUGAUUAAUAUAAAAAAUAUCACAUGUUAAACCUUUCAAACACUUUACUAUAAAAUUAGUAUGUUUUGAGAUUAUACAGUUUUAAUGCGAGAAGACGAAAUGUGGAAAUGUAUCUGUAAAAUGGCUGGGUGGGAAAUGUAAAAUGAUGGCUAUGAGGCGCCGGGAUCGGGCUUUUCGAAAAUUUAGGAGGAAUCGGUGUGAUAACUGCCGUGCGAUUCUCUAAAAUUCAAACAAGAACUCGCAUCUCACUACGAAAUUCUCCAUCACUUCGCAUUCGCAAUAGAAUGACCUUGAUUUGGCAUUCUGUAAACACUAAUCUUAAUUACCCUGCCUCGAGCGAAGUGAAGUGACAACGAAGUUUGUUUACAAUACUACUAGGGAUAGCCGUAUACACGCAAAUGUAAAUCGAAGCUUACCGGUUUCAGUUUUUCUUUGUAUUUAGAAGCAUUCUGUAAGAAAAUACUAUGAAUUUAAGCUUUGGUGUCUAAACCACAUCUAAUAUAUCUAAAAAGAAAAUUAAAAGUCAUAUAUUUAUGAAAUUAAUUGUAAUUUCUGGCUGUACGCUAAGUUCCUUUGCGUGCACUGGCGAAUUCCAGAAUUAAAAAACAAAAUUUUAAUUGUUUUCAAAACAAUUUCGAGCGGUCGGAAGUUUUUAUUUUGCUUUUUCUAGAUUUGUUGAUACUUUGUGAGUGAAUUUAACGUUAAAUAAAAAUUAUGAGAUUUAAAGAGCGUUCUUCUCAUCCGACAUUGGCGCAAAUAGAGGCAUUGAUAAACGUUUUGGGUUAAAAGCUAGCGAAACAAAAGGAUUAAUCGAAUCUCAACAUGUUCAAUAAGAGAACAAGGAUAUUAGAAAAAUAUAGGAACUAAAUUCUCUUGUCAGUUAAGAUCCAUUCCCGGUGAGAUAUUUAGGACAUGUUAACAUAUAUUUAUGUAUGAUAUAUCUAUCUACUACGUUUUUAUUGAUGUUCUAUUUUAACAGGGCAUGAAGGUAAUUUAUUUGUAUCUCAAAUUCACCAACAAAAAAAUUAUUUUGAAUUAAAUAAAUCAAAUCAUUAACAAUUUAGGUAUUGCAAGUUAGAUUGAUGUUGUUGGAAUGUAUUUAUUGAUGCAGAGGUGACUGUAUCUAUGGUAAAGGGUGUGCAUACUGGUACAGGGGUGGCAGGCAGUGCCAGAGUAUUGACUAAACUGACAUUAUGUUGGCUAAAGGCUGCAUACUCAGUUUAAAAUAAAUGAACAAAAUUUAGGCAUAACCUAUUUUAUUAUAUUUAAGGAACUACAACAGAUUGAAAAUACUAAUCCACAUCAUCAGAAUAUUGUAAGGAGAAUUUAUAGCCAACUCGGAAAAUGUAUCAGUAUUGGAACAAUCGCAAACAUACAGCAUUGCAUCAAGAAUCACCUAUUUUGCAGUCAUCAUCCUCUAACUAAAUGCAAGUAACUUCUACUUAUUGUGAUGCUACUACUAGUAGCUCCAGCCACAGUAGGUCUCACAUGUUAGUCAAGAGAUUGGGUUGAUAUGUGUUUAUUCAGGUCAAAGUACCUAUUCAUUGAACCACCAUAUUAGGGACAUUGAUUUGUGUAUAAUGCUGUUACUUGUAAAUAAAAACAUUUUGUUGCAUGUAUUGUAAACAUUGUAUUUUACCUAACCUUGUUUUUAAAUAAAUUUAUUAUUUUUUUCAGCACCUCAACACCUGACCUGCUAUUUCACCACUUUUACAAUGAAAAGCAGAGUGUACUCAAAUUACUGAGAGAAUUUUGUGGAUAGAGGAACUGCAGGUGAAGAUUCAGGGUGUUCAUAUGUGUGUCGUCCAAAGCAUUUUUGAACACAGUACCAUAUAUAACUUAAUGAAACUUACAACCAUGGGGGAAUGAACAGUCGACAAUCUGCAAGAAGGAUGAACUGUUGGUGGAAUUAGCACAUGCAGCUAGCAAUUUUAAACCUGUAUUUCCACAUAAGUUACUGAUGCAAACAAAUUUCAAAAUUAUUGUAUAUAACUAUUGAAUAAAACUAUAAUAAAACUAUUUUUAUAAA